UAGAUAGCCUGAACCAUUCUGCUCUACGGGU
Molecule: non-coding RNA, 31 nt
Filed under: Rattus norvegicus (Norway rat)
Lineage: Eukaryota; Metazoa; Chordata; Mammalia; Rodentia; Muridae
Source: RNAcentral